CCAAUUUGAACCCGAUCGAAUCCCCAUUCACAUUAGGGUUAUAUACACCCUGGUUCAGAAUCAAACUCAAUCCACUGAAUUUCGUUCAUCUUUUAUUCAAUCUUCAGCAUUUCAAAGGUCUCUUAAUCGAAGGUGUCCUAGCACUUUGUGGGGGUAAUUAACAAUAGACGCUUGCGUUUAUUGGAAGCCAUAGAUCCACAAUACCUGAUCCCUAUACAAAUUCAAAUAUUAAUCUACAUCAUGAAUACUACCCCACGGUAAAAAUCAAAAUAAGAUAAGCCGUGCGAGGUGCGUCAUUCGUGGUGGCAGACAUCCACCUACUCCCCUUCUCCUCCUGCACCCUCGCCGCCCCUCGAUUUUGACGAUAGUAGGGAGGAAAUCGAGGUGGGUGUUGAUGGAGAGGUAGGCAAGGGCAACGAGGGCGAAGGCGAGGCGGUGGAGGAGGGCGAAGGGGAUGUGGGCCAGGGCGAGGCAGUGGAGGACGGCGAGGCGGCAAGGCGGCGAGCUGGAGGGAGGCGAAGCAACAAGAAAGAGGGCGGAGGGGUAUUUUCGGCAUAAAAAAAAUAUUUUAUAACGGAACCCUAACGGUAGGGGGUAAAGUGCACAUUUUUAAUUUUACAAGAGGGCAAAGUGUAGGUUUUUAAAUGUCAGGAGGAAAAAGUAAAAAAGCAGGUUAUUACAGGGGGGUUUUCUGUAAUUUAGCCUAAAAUCUAACAAUGUGUGCCAAAGAGUGCAUCAUUGCCAUCUAUUAUUAUGGAUCUCUCUCUAUUGGUUGGACUUGAUGAGUGGUAGGUGAUUGUAUGAUUUAGUUAUUUAAAAUUUGAAUCAGUACGAAUAGUUAAUCUUAAAUAUCUUUGCAGGUUAACUAUCCAUUAUAAUUAAAGUGAAGGUUCAUCAUCUAGUGUUCGAGAACAUACUGAUUGGGAAGUAAAAAAUGCGAGUGAUAAUAAGGAUGUAACUAGAACUGAUGAUGAGCAUGUAAUUGAAAGUGACGAUGAAGAUGUAAAUGGAACCGAUAAUGA
Molecule: long non-coding RNA, 1022 nt
Filed under: Ananas comosus (pineapple)
Lineage: Eukaryota; Viridiplantae; Streptophyta; Magnoliopsida; Poales; Bromeliaceae
Description: long non-coding RNA (ACOM_LNC038176)
Source: RNAcentral